GAUGUAUCUUUACACACACAUCCGCCCGGGUACUACGAGCACAGCUUAAAACCCAAAGGACUUGGCGGUGCCUCAGACCCACCUAGAGGAGCCUGUUCUAGAACCGAUAAACCCCGUUAAACCUCACCACUUCUUGUUUUUCCCGCCUAUAUACCGCCGUCGUCAGCUUACCCCGUGAAGGCCUAACAGUAAGCAAAAUUGGUACACCCAAAAACGCCAGGUCGAGGUGUAGCGAAUGAAGUGGGAAGAAAUGGGCUACAUUUUCUACAAACAGAAUACUACGGACGGCACCCUGAAAACAUGCCUGAAGGUGGAUUUAGUAGUAAAAAGCAAAUAGUGUGUCC
RNAcentral lists this ribosomal RNA (344 nucleotides) under Brachyplatystoma rousseauxii (gilded catfish). RNAcentral describes it as "partial 12S ribosomal RNA". It matches the Rfam family "Bacterial small subunit ribosomal RNA", at positions 848 to 1359 of the family's 1533-position model. The record is from RNAcentral. Lineage: Eukaryota; Metazoa; Chordata; Actinopteri; Siluriformes; Pimelodidae.